Long non-coding RNA from Chenopodium quinoa (quinoa), 137 nucleotides. RefSeq lists it as uncharacterized. Lineage: Eukaryota; Viridiplantae; Streptophyta; Magnoliopsida; Caryophyllales; Amaranthaceae. The transcript has 3 exons. The record is from RefSeq and is a predicted model, not a curated record.
GCCAAACAAGAUGAAGAACGCAAGAUUCAUCAAUAAGGUUACUUAUCUGUGUGGUGUACUUGGGUUUGGAGGAUUUUGCUUUCUACUUGGGGCAAGGCCACAAGAUGUUCCUAUUGUGUAUUGUUUAUUUUAUGUCA